UGCAUCGGCCGGGAAUCGAACCCUUGGCCGCCCGCGUGGCAGGCGAGCAUUCUACCACUGAACCACCGAUGC
This 72-nucleotide transfer RNA is filed under the name Cordylochernes scorpioides. RNAcentral describes it as "tRNA-Gly". Lineage: Eukaryota; Metazoa; Arthropoda; Arachnida; Pseudoscorpiones; Chernetidae. The record is from RNAcentral.